Molecule: ribosomal RNA, 345 nt
Filed under: uncultured archaeon
Lineage: Archaea
Description: bacterial SSU rRNA
Rfam family: Archaeal small subunit ribosomal RNA
Source: RNAcentral
ACGGGGUGCAGCAGGCGCGAAAACUGGCCAAUGCGCGAAAGCGUGAGCCGGCUAGUCCGAGUGAUAGCCCAUCGGCUAUCUUUUGUCAAGUGUUUACAGCUUGGCGAAUAAUGAGAGGGCAAGACUGGUGUCAGCCGCCGCGGUAACACCAGCCCCUCGAGUGGUGGGGAUGAUUAUUUGGCCUAAAGCGUCCGUAGCCGGCCGGAUAAGUCUCCCGUUAAAUCCAGCGUCUCAAGCGUUGGACUGCGGGAGAUACUGUCUGGCUAGAGAGUGGGAGAGGUAUACGGUAUUCUGGGGGUAGGGGCGAAAUCCAUUGAUCCCCGGAGGACCACCAGUGGCGAAGGC